Canis lupus familiaris (dog) is the source of this 2895-nucleotide long non-coding RNA. RefSeq lists it as uncharacterized. NCBI's taxonomy places the organism in Eukaryota, Metazoa, Chordata, Mammalia, Carnivora, Canidae. The record is from RefSeq and is a predicted model, not a curated record. The transcript has 3 exons.
UGCUGGGGCUGCAGGGAACUCUCCCUGGGUUGUCCAUUGAAAGGUUUUCAAUGGUGAGCAGGGCCUGCAGUGAAACCACAUGCCUGCCCUCAGUCCAUCUUCUUGGGCUGCAAUUGCAGUGGUGUGUGUGUGUUUAUCUUCCCUUCUCCUCAGGGCAGGAGUUACUUUGGAUUGGUGCUGUUCCCUGUCAGAUAUACUUGCAAAGUGUGUCUCAGCUGGAGCUACUUUGGAGGGAUACUGGCCCAAGCUUGGAUAUAAUGGUUCCAAAGGCGAUUGGAGGGACAGAGAACUCCUUGUUAGCGAGGGCAUUGUAGAUUCUCCUGUUACUUUCUUCUCUUCUAAAGCAUCCUGACCAUCCCCUCACUCUGAGCCCAGUAUUAAAUGAAGGUAAACAUGGUCUUGGACUUCUGGAUAUGGAAAAGGAGACAUUGAGAGGCUGAAAAGAGGAGGAAAAGGAACCCUGUAAUCAAUAGAAAAUAUCAGAAAAGACCAUUUGAAGGGGGCACCACUAAUACACAUUUGAAACAAGCCGUGGAUAUGUUGUAUGAAACCUUUUAGGGUAUCUAAAGAAGUUGAAGUAAUUUUUCAGGGGAGUAAAUGUAAAGCAUAUCUGUUGUUUGGGAUUUUUAACUUGUACAAUUCAUGGCUGAAGUUACAGUGAAUAUGGAAGGGAUGAUUUCCUUAUGAAAUCUGAACUCUUCACAAUUCUAAGUGUACUAUUCUUCCAACCAAGACUUCCACCUCCAUCAAACCCUUUCCUUGUGACUACUUUCCCAAAGUCUUGACACAAAGAAUGAUAUUGGUAAAAACUUCUCCGUUCCCAUUCAUGACUCAGUUUCAAGCCCCUCCACUUACAUACUGCUGUCUUCAAUCCAUGAAUAUUAUGUUCUUUUUCACCUUCUCCCCAUUUCUUUUUAUGCUUCCUUACCUGUGUCAUCUCUGAAUUAUAGCUUCCUUUUAUAUACCAUCUCCCUUCUUGUCCCUCUUUUUCAGUUCUUUGCUUUUGGAAAAGGAAAAAUACUAGGCAAAGGCAAUUCCUCAUCCACUCACUACCUACGUUUGAAUUUUAAUUUAAUGAAAAAUAAACAUCAACUCCAACUAAUUUUACUUCAUGUUCAUGACCACCAACUUCAAGUGAGCCUUUGGAAAUGCCUUUGCUGGUCAUCUUGAUUGCUUCCCCCCUGUAUUCUAUUUCUAGCCUUUAUUUCCUUUAGGUUUCAUUAGCUAUUCCUUUUCUAUAUUUAUAUAAUGUCUUUGAUCAUUGAUUUUUAGCACUUAUUCAUUUUUAAUGUAUUCUUUUAAAGCUAUAAGCUCUACUCAUAAAGGAGUUUAACUGUAACUCAUAGGUUUCCUAUGUCCUAUUAUGUUUUGACCAGUUAGUCAAAAUGUUCUAAUUUUCAUUGUGAUUUCUUUUUUGACCUAACAAUUUUUAAAAGAAUAUCAUAUUUCAAACGUUGAAGGUUGUGUUAUUAGUUUUGAGGUCAAUUCUGUGAUGUUCAGAGAAUAUACUGAGAUUUAAAUCCUUUAAAAUUUGCUGAAACUUUCUUUAAGGCCUAGCCAUGUAAAAAAAAAAAAAAAAUUCCAUUUGAAAUGACUGUAAACUAUGUACCUAUUUGAUGUCAGGUUACAUGUGUCAGUUACAUUAAAUUUAUUAAUUGGAUUGUUCAAAUAUUCUGUAAUAGUUCUAUCAGUUACUAAAAGAUGUUUGUUAAAAUCUGUCUACGGUUUGUGUAUUUUUUUUCUGUUCUAAUUUACUUAAUAUAUUGUGAAGCUAUGAGACUGGAGGCCUACAAACUUAGAAUCAUUAUACCUUCAGUCGACUGAAACUUGUAUCAUUAUGAAGUAGUCUUUUUUCCUCUGGUAGUUUUGCCUUAAGUUCUAUUGAUAUAUUAAUAUGACAAUGUAGCUACACCAGCUUUAUUUCUAUUAUUGACAGAUGGUUUUCAACCUUUUUGCUUUCAGUCAUUUUGUAUCCUUAGAGUUAAGACCUGUCUCUUGGAGCAGAUAUUGUCUAUGUUCCCUCCAUUCCCUUGGACCACUUACAUAUCCAUUCCUGUGCAUACCAGCUUAUCAACAUCCAACACUUAAAUCAAUUUUGAGGACUGCCCUCAGGCUGCAGCACCCACUUUGCCCAUAGGCAAAAGUGUCCAGAAAUACCUGGGAAUUAACAUUCCCCAGAGGCACCCCUUAACUUAUGACUGACAGGUAUGGAAGGAUGAGUACCUCAGUUUGCUUGAACUUUGGCAGGGUUGUGCACUUUGCAGUACUUUCUAGGAUUUCCUCACUGUUUUAAGCACCAAUCAUGGCCCUCUGGCAGCUGACUUGACAGCGUCCUCUUGAUAUACUGCCUUGCCUUCCCUAUAUCACAUCUUCUCCUAUCCUUGUUAAUAGGCUACUUACACUUGAUUCCUUGGCACAAUGUCUGCUUCUAAAGUAAUCCAAACAAAGAGGGUUUUUGAAACAAGUUUUCAAAUCUAGUUUGAGGUUUGUAUAUUCGACUAUUACUAUUUUACACUUAAUAAAAUUACUGACUUAAGGAUUUAAAUCAAUCCAUGACUAUUUGAUUUGUAUUUAUGCUACCAGUUCUAGGCACUUUAAUUUUUAAGGAUUUUCAAGUGUUGUGCCUCUUGUUGGCUAAUAAGCCAUACAUUGUUCUGCCAUUCUUAGUAGUUUUUAGUUAUUACAAUAUGCAUUUUGACUUACUAAUGUCUGCUAUAAAUGAGUACUGUUAUUUCCUAUAGCCAUUCUUUUAUUAAGGACUUCAGAUGAUUUGAUGCUCAUAGGAAAUCAUUGAUAUAGAUAAGCCUAUAUUACAUUGGUAAGUCAACAUUCUAAGCUGGAUAUAUUUAAUCAAGAGACCAUACUUUUAAGGCAAACACAAUAUGUGGUAUAAAA